RNAcentral lists this ribosomal RNA (274 nucleotides) under uncultured bacterium. RNAcentral's name for it is "partial 16S ribosomal RNA". It matches the Rfam family "Bacterial small subunit ribosomal RNA", at positions 523 to 796 of the family's 1533-position model. The record is from RNAcentral.
AUACGGAGGGUGCGAGCGUUAAUCGGAAUUACUGGGCGUAAAGCGUACGUAGGCGGUUUGCUAAGUCAGAUGUGAAAGCCCCGGGCUUAACCUGGGAACUGCAUUUGAUACUGGCAGACUUGAGUAUGAUAGAGGGGGGUAGAAUUCCUGGUGUAGCGGUGAAAUGCGUAGAUAUCAGGAGGAAUACCAGUGGCGAAGGCGGCCCCCUGGAUCAAUACUGACGCUGAGGUACGAAAGCGUGGGGAGCGAACAGGAUUAGAUACCCCAGUAGUCC